AAGUAUGACGAAUCGAUUGUAAGAAAGAAUUGCACUCCAGCUAUAAACAGAGCCAAACAAGUCAAGUUGAAUUGUCUGCUUGUGGCCAUUACUGAUAUAUUUCUGAUACGUCGAUGAUACAUUGGCUGCAUUCGAAUCGUCAGCUGCAUGUAAAGAUGUCCUUGCAUGUCUUAUUAAGCUGCAUCCUGCACUGAAAUUCAUUGUUGAAAUGGACCAGUCAAAUGAGCUCCCUGUCCUUGACGAUCUCAUUGAGAAAUCAUCUGUUUACAGGAGAAAGCCCUGCCCUGGAAGUGCAGUUUGUGAAAUUCACUACUUAAAGACACAGUUGGCGUG
Rhincodon typus (whale shark) is the source of this 333-nucleotide long non-coding RNA. RefSeq lists it as uncharacterized. The transcript is spliced from 3 exons. The record is from RefSeq and is a predicted model, not a curated record. Lineage: Eukaryota; Metazoa; Chordata; Chondrichthyes; Orectolobiformes; Rhincodontidae.